UCACAAUAAUUUUAGUUUAAAGUUAAACUUCUCACUGAAUAAUUUCAGCACACAAAGCUGUACAUUUUUUGCCUCAAACUAAACAUACCCAGUACGGCAGUACCUUAAUUGCCUGUGCAUACAAAAUACAAACAGCUCAAAUUCCAAUCUAACAAAAAUAGGAGAUAAAAAGAUCGCAACUUUCACAACCCAAAAACAAAUGUAUACACAGUAAUGUCCAAACUCCAAAGUAAUAGUUCAAACACAUUAAUAACAAUGCAAAGUAGUAUCAACCUUAGGAUUAACAAGUCCAAACAUAAUACAUAAAACAAGAUGACAAUAACUACAUCUUACUUUCCACCAUCCAUCAUCACCUUCUUCAAUCCUUUCAUAGUGACUCCAAACAUGUGAGAUAGCUUUGAGACCACAAAGUCGAGGCAUGGUUACACCUAUUAAACAUAACAAGAAAAUAUAUUAAGCAAGUAAUAUUUGUAAUCAUACUAUGUGUUAUAUAAGUUGAAUAAUUAACUUACCAAAGUUUUAACUUACAACUAUCUAGGAUUCUACAUAUCAUCAUCGCAGGGUUCGUUUUCAAGAUUGGCAAAAUCUAUGAUAAUAUAUAUUAACAAGUCAAACAACAAAAAUAUUAAAUAAACUAUUUAUAAAAAUAAUAUACAAUCAAACAAAUUAAAAUAUUGCUACCUUGUUCUAGUUGCUCGAGAACAUCUAAAUCUUCCUCAACACUUACAGGUAAUGCUCACUUCGAAGCCAAUCUUGAAGGCACAGGAGAACUUCCACCAAUUUAGGAGUCAAUGAACUCCUAAAUGAAUCAAGAAUAUGCCCUCCAGUGCUAAAUGCACAUUCAGAUGCAACACUUGAAAUAGGAAUAGAUAAUACAUCCCGAGCCAUCUCAGCAAGAAUGGGGAAUCUAAGUGAGUUUACUUUCCACCAAAGCAAUAUAUUACUGUCUGCUAUUUCAUUUUCAACUUCUUUUGUUAGAUAUUUUUCCAAUUCUGAUUUAGAAUCUGAACCUCCAAUCCCAGCUUUAUGUCUUUUUAAUUCUUCAAAGAAAGAACCAAAAGAUCCAUUUGAAGUUUCCAUUGUGUCCAAUGAAGAGUUAGAUAAACAUGAAGAGGGACGACAAACUUUAUCUUUUGAACAAGACUUUACAUACUCAUCAAACAAUGAAGUCAUGUAUGUAUGCACUCCCUUCGCGAUAAUUGACCCUUUCUCUUCGAACAUCUUCGCAAGUGCAAAACUAACAGAAUCAAACUUGUACCGAGGAUCCAAAACACAUGAAAUGAAAAUCAUUUUGUUCAUUUUUUCUGGAUCACCCCAAUACUUAUCAAAUUUCUCCUUCAUUUUCUUUGCCAUUGAACCCAACAAAACAUCUUCAUUUAAUAUCAAUUGUUUCAAGUAAACAACAACUUCACAAAUUUCAAGAAAAUGAUGAUUUGAUGUAACAUAAAGUGAGCCAGAUACCUUUACAGUAAGCUUAUAAAAGAUUUCAAGAAAUUUUGUCAAUUUCUUUACAUCCUCCCAAUCACUACUCAAAAGUGUACCUGCAGGACUUCCAUUUACAAUAUCAACAAACUCAAGAUGAUGUGACAAGCCAAUAUCAUGAUCAACAUAUUCUAAAAUUGCACUCUCAUAUUCAAUAGCCCUGUUCAACAUUAAGUAUGUAGAAUUCCACCUUGUAGGAACAUCCAAACAUAAAGAUUUCCUAACUAGAUCUCCUUCAUCACAACAUUCCUGAAACUUUUUCCACCUAGCAGGAGACUGCCUGAUAUAUCUCACUGCUUGCCUAAUACGUUCAAUAGACACAAUUGAUUCUUUUAUACCAUCCUGAACAACAAGAUUCAUAAUAUGAGCCAUACACCUCACGUGAAGGUGCUUACCAUUCAUUGAAUUGGUCCCCCAUUUAGUUAACUUCUUAGAAAGCUCCUUCACCGUCACAUCAUUUGAACUAGCAUAUCAACUGUGAUAGUGAAAAUCUUUUGUAACCCCCAUUCUUUCAAACAAUUAACAAUACUAUUUGUCAUAUCUUCCCCCCUAUGACUAGAAAUUGGACAAAAGUUGACAAUUCUUUUAUGCAUUUUCCAUUCAUUAUCAAUCCAAUGAACAAUAAUACACAUAUAAUUUAUUCGUUGUAAGGAAGUCCAAGUAUCAGUGGUAAGGCAAACUCUCUGAUCUUUAAAAAGCUUCACCAACUUACGUUUUUCAUCAUUUAAAAGAUCAAAAUAGUCCCGAGUCACAGUUCUACGUGAAGGAAUUCGAAAAAAAGGUUGUGCAACUUUCAUAAAAUUCAUAAAACCUUCCUUUUCAACAAAGCUGAAAGGAAGUUCAUCAACGAUCACCAUACGACACAAAGCCUUCCUACAUUGUUCUUGAUCAAAUUUCCAAGGAACUACGGCUACAUCACCCUUAUUACCCCACGGAAUAGGGUUAAAGCCUAGUUUUGAUUGACUUUUUGCAACAUCUAAAGGCAUUUUUAAACACUUGGCCAUAUGUGUAAGGAGUGAUUUCGUACCAUUAUCUUUUGAAUCGGCAAAAUAUUCUCUUUUGCAAUGUUUACAAACACCCUUUUGAUUUCCUUCCGGAUCAAUAAUUUGGUCGAAAUAUUCCCAUGCAACAGACCUCUUUUUUCUUUGUUUUUUUGCUUUCGAUUAAACUGAUUGAGAUUGUGAUGUGGCAUUUGAAUUAGAANNNNNNNNNNNNNNNNNNNNUAGAAGCUCCACUUUCACCAAUCACCUUAUCAAUCAUGAUAUUUUCAGCCAUGUUUUUGUGUCACUGUGAAUUUGAUUUAAAAGAAAUCAAGCAGCGAGACAACAAAAUCUUAAAAUGAAAUACAUAUAACUACUUAUUUAACUUAAAAUCUUAAAAUGAAACACAUAUUUUUUGAAUAAAUGCUCAAUACUUCCUGCCACAACAUAGACAGUAAACAAGUGAGGAUGGGAAACAACUCAGUCUAAGGCGCUAAGCAGCAACUAUCAAGCAGGGUAAAAUAAAAGAUAAGUACGGACAACAGAGAAAGAAAACACCACCUUCGUUUGUUAUACAACACCAAAUUUUCAGGAUGUUACCCACUAAAUUUGCAUGAUGUUAUAGUAUAAAUCAGUGUAGUAUAAAUCAGUAUAGUAUGAAAAAGGAAACCAAACAAUCAGUGUAGUAUAAAUUCAAGAAACCAAACAUUUUAGGGAAACCAUUUUUCGAGCUUCAUAAAAAGGAAAAUAUGCAAAAAUUGAUUUCUAAGAUACCAAACUAAGAUGAAUUCAGAAAUGGGAUAUGAAAGACUAACCUUAGUGCAAUGCUCUGCCGGAAAAAGAUAUAGAAAACUGAGUUUUGACGGGCUCAGUCGUGUGGGCGUGAGUCAUGAGGCAGAGAACUGGUGAGGGCUUGACUGCUUGAGCCGUGUGGUCGGUGGCGGACUGGCAGAGAACUGGUGAGGUUUGACUUCUGAGGGUGAGGACUGAGGACUAAGGGCUUGACUGAGGACUUCAAGCAUAUGACAGGAGUGAGUGAGGCGGACAUCGGAGAAAGCAAAGCACUAUAUGAAAUAAUGAAAAUG
Molecule: long non-coding RNA, 3547 nt
Filed under: Nicotiana tabacum (common tobacco)
Lineage: Eukaryota; Viridiplantae; Streptophyta; Magnoliopsida; Solanales; Solanaceae
Description: long non-coding RNA (NTAB_LNC010798)
Source: RNAcentral